This 505-nucleotide ribosomal RNA is filed under the name uncultured bacterium. RNAcentral describes it as "partial 16S ribosomal RNA". It matches the Rfam family "Bacterial small subunit ribosomal RNA", at positions 28 to 507 of the family's 1533-position model. The record is from RNAcentral.
GACGAACGCUGGCGGCGUGCCUAAUACAUGCAAGUAGAACGCACAGUUUAUACCGUAGCUUGCUACACCAUAGACUGUGAGUUGCGAACGGGUGAGUAACGCGUAGGUAACCUGCCUGGUAGCGGGGGAUAACUAUUGGAAACGAUAGCUAAUACCGCAUAAUAUUAAUUAUUGCAUGAUAAUUAAUUGAAAGGUGCAAUUGCACCACUACCAGAUGGACCUGCGUUGUAUUAGCUAGUAGGUGAGGUAACGGCUCACCUAGGCGACGAUACAUAGCCGACCGGAGAGGGUGAGCGGCCAGACUGGGACUGAGACACGGCCCAGACUGCUACGGAAGGCAGCAGUAGGGAAUCGUCGGGAAUGGACGAAAGUCUGAGCGAGAAAGGCGGCAGGAGUGAAGAAGGUUGUCGGAUCGUAAAGCUCGGUUGUAAGAGAAGAACGGGUGUGAGAGUGGAAAGUUCACACAGUGACGGUAUCUGACCAGAAAGGGACGGCUAACUACGUG